AAAGAUGGAGGGAGGUGCUUCUUUUCCUGGGGACUUGCAAAUGGGAAAUACUUCCUGGAGUUGUGGCUGACCUGAUUUGGGUGCCUUUCUCCCAAGGCACAGCAACACAAUUUUGGGAUUAACACAGUCCCCAUUCUACUCAUUUCAGAGAGGCCUCGAGUCCUCUGGAACAUCCUGAUAUUGAACCAGAUGCCAAGGAAGUUUAGAUCAAUUGCAACAUGUAUUUCUACUAUACAAGCACCUGAGAAAGGAGGAGUCCUAUUAAAUACAGCUGGUCAAGUCUCAGAAGAGGUCAUUCUUGAUGAAAUAGUCAAACACAGUGACUGAGAGAUGCGACAAGUUCCUAAGCCUGAGAGGUUUCUUCGAAGUUUUACCUGCCCCGCUGAAUAUGUGCCUAGAUGACAUGGGACAAAAAUCAGUGUAAAUAAAAUGUUUUUUUUUAUGAGUAUAAAUCUCAUUGUUAGGAAGAAGAAAACC
Non-coding RNA from Anas platyrhynchos (mallard), 477 nucleotides. NCBI's taxonomy places the organism in Eukaryota, Metazoa, Chordata, Aves, Anseriformes, Anatidae. The record is from RefSeq and is a predicted model, not a curated record.